This 1565-nucleotide ribosomal RNA is filed under the name Eleutherodactylus cooki. Its description in RNAcentral is "partial 16S ribosomal RNA". It matches the Rfam family "Bacterial large subunit ribosomal RNA", at positions 425 to 2925 of the family's 2925-position model. The record is from RNAcentral. Lineage: Eukaryota; Metazoa; Chordata; Amphibia; Anura; Eleutherodactylidae.
CUAAAAACCUAGCCGUAAUCUCUACUCUACUACCCCAUUCAAACCAAAAUAUUUUAUUUGUUUAGUAAAGACGAUUAAAAAAUUAAUCAGAGCGAUAAAUCUGUACCGUAAGGGAAAGAUGAAAUAAUAAUGAAAUAUUCAUUAAGCAUAAAAUAGUAGAGACUAACCCUCGUACCUUUUGCAUCAUGGUUUAACUAGUCUAACCAAGCAAAAAGAAUUACAGUUUGACUCCCCGAAACUAAGUGAGCUACUUUAGGACAGCUUCAUGAGCAAACCCGUCUCUGUUGCAAAAGAGUGGGAAGAUCUUAAAGUAGGGGCGAUAUACCUAACGAACUUAGCGAUAGCUGGUUAUUCAGGAAAUGAAUCUUAGUUCAACCUAAAGUUACUUCAAUUAUAAUAAAUAAACGCUUAACUUUAGAGUUAGUCAAAUAAGUCAUAGCCUAUUUGAAACAGGAUACAACCUCCACCUGUGGGUAACACAACCUCAUUUUUAAUCAAGUUGGCCUAAGGGCAGCCAUCUUUUGAAAAGCGUCAAAGCUUAAUUGUUAUAACACUAUUAAUUCCUUAAACUAUCCAGAACCCCUCAUCAAUACUGAAUGAUCCCAUACUUUUAUGGAACUCUCUAUGUUAAAACGAGUAACAAGAUAUCAACUCUCUCUUACUAUGUAAGCACACAUCAGAACAGAAAAUCUACUGACCCGUAACAGCCAUAAACCCUAGUAACACCACAUCAAGAAAAUCCUACUCACACAACUGUUAACCUAACACAAGAACAUAAAAAGAAAGAUUAUAAGAAAAAGAAGGAACUCGGCAAAUUCUGAUUCCGCCUGUUUACCAAAAACAUCGCCUCCUGCUAGCCUAUAGGAGGUCCAGCCUGCCCAGUGACCUAGUUUAACGGCCGCGGUAUCCUAACCGUGCGAAGGUAGCGUAAUCACCUGUUUUUUAAUUAAAGACCUGUAUCAAAGGCAUCACGAGAAUCGCACUGUCUCCUUUUUCCAAUCAGUGAAACUAAUCUCCCCGUGAAAAAGCGGGGAUAACUAUACAAGACGAGAAGACCCUUUGGAGCUUCAAACAAAGUAAUAUAUUCCCCCCCCCCCCCCCCCCCACCUAUAUAAAACAGCAUCUAUAUUACAAAUCUUCGGUUGGGGCAACCACGGAGUAAAAAUCAACCUCCGAGCUGAACGGAGCUUUCCUAAGCAGAAAGUCACAACUUUAUGCAUCAAUAAAUUGACAUUAUGACCCAAUAUUUUGAUUAUCGAACUAAGUUACCCUAGGGAUAACAGCGCAAUCUACUUCGAGAGCCCAUAUCGACAAGUAGGCUUACGACCUCGAUGUUGGAUCAAGGUAUCCCAGUGGUGCAGCCGCUACUAAAGGUUCGUUUGUUCAACGAUUAAAACCUCACGUGAUCUGAGUUCAGACCGGAGUAAUCCAGGUCAGUUUCUAUCUGUAAAGAGCUAUUCCCAGUACGAAAGGACAGAAAUAGCGCGGCCAAUAUUAUAUCCAAGCCACACCAUCACUUAUGACAUUUACUCAAUAAGCCAAUCUAAAAGGACCCCAAGAACAGG